CCGCUCUGGUUUCUCUUCAGCACGCACAAAUCUUUUGCCUUUUACUAAAGAUUUCCAAUAAGAGGAACAAGGGUGAGCCUAUGCUAUUUUUGGAGUCCCUGCUUUUAGACAGGGC
Megalops cyprinoides (Indo-Pacific tarpon) is the source of this 115-nucleotide small nuclear RNA. RefSeq annotates it as U5 spliceosomal RNA. The transcript has a single exon. The record is from RefSeq and is a predicted model, not a curated record. NCBI's taxonomy places the organism in Eukaryota, Metazoa, Chordata, Actinopteri, Elopiformes, Megalopidae.